UUGUUGACGAUGUUGAUGAUGUCGUUGACAAUGUUGUUGUUGCUGCCGCUGCAGACGCGCGACUGGAACGAGCAGCUGCAGAGCUGCCAUGAGCUCCCCCCACAAGACGCUGUCACAGAGACUCGUUAGAGAGAGAGAGAGCCACAUUCAAGGUCCCACCACCGAUGGGCGCUGCCGGUGCGUCGUCUCUGGUUGACGCUGCUCAGCAAGGAGCAGCUUCACUCCACGAUCCUGCGCUACUCACUCACUCACCCACUCACUCACCCACUCACUCACCCACUCACUCACUCACCCACUCACUCAGCCACUCACUCACCCACUCACUCACUCACCCACUCACUCACUCACAAGCUUCACUCCACGUUCCUGCGCUACUCACUCGCAGGCGGCCACAGCACGAGACGCGCGACUGGAACGAGGAGCUGCAGAGCUGCCGUGAGCUCCCCCACAAGACGCUGUCACAGAGACUCGUUAGAGAGAGACAGCCACAUUCAAGACGCGCGACUGGAACGAGGAGCUGCAGAGCUGCCGUGAGCUCCCCCACAAGAAGCUGUCACAGAGACUCGUUAGAGAGAGAGAGCAACAUUCAAGGUCCCACCACCGAUGGGCGCUGCCGGUGCGUCGUCUCUGGUUGACGCUGCUCAGCAAGGAGCAGCUUCACUCCACGUUCCUGCGCUACUCACUCACCCACUCACUCACCCACUCACUCACUCACCCACUCACUC
This is a long non-coding RNA of Lethenteron reissneri (Far Eastern brook lamprey), 725 nucleotides long. RefSeq lists it as uncharacterized. NCBI's taxonomy places the organism in Eukaryota, Metazoa, Chordata, Hyperoartia, Petromyzontiformes, Petromyzontidae. The record is from RefSeq and is a predicted model, not a curated record.